UUUAUACCGAGUCGACGUCAUCCUGGAUUUAGUUCCUGGUAAUAUGCAGAUGACAAACAGAACCAGAUUUGGCCCUUUCUGUUCCUUUGGGUGGUGGGGCUUUUGGAAGGGGGAAGGGGGAGAGGUGCCAAGGGGAGGGGGUUACGGGGCCUGAAAAGAGAUUGUGGAUUGAGAAUUAAUGAAAUUAACCUAAUCUUUUCCAUUCAGCCUCCCCGCCGCGGGCCGGGGGAGCCGGGAGGGCGUCCUAAUUGCCCCGGUUAAUCUCAUUAAUUCCACUGUGCGGCCGCAGUUAACAACUCCCUCCUCCCGACCUCUCCGCCCCCACCCUUUUCCCUCAGAUUCGGUCCUAUUAUUGGGUGCGAUUUCCUCUGCGCGAAGCUCAGAUUCAUUGUGGCCGAUUUUAUUUUGGGGUUACUUUUCUGUUUUCUCCUUUCCGAAUUUGUUUUGUUUUAGAAAAUGUGAGGGGCUGCGUCCUACCACAAGCCGGAUUGAAAAUCCCGCUCUUCUUCCGGGCCCCAAGGCACCCACCGCCUAAUUUCACCUUUAUUUUCUUUCAUCUUGAGAUUCUCUCCCUAACGGCGUUGGUUAACCCCCUCCAACCCUUUUGUUUUGCAAAGGCCAACAUUUGUAAAGGUAAAAAACGAUGGAAGUGGUGCAUCGUAUUUCUUUAAAAUAUACACAGUUUUGCAGUCACUUUGGGUCCGAAAACUAUCAUAGCAGUCGCCUUACACAGCGGAAACCAAAUUCAGCCACUAUUUAAAACUGGCCAACAAAAGUAGCGCUCUGAAGCGAUGCUUCCAGCGGCUUCCUGCGUGGAUGUCGGAUCCUCGGCGCGGCGCGGCCCUCCCGCCCGCGGGAGCCUCUGGAGACGCAUCCAGCGCAGGCGACCGAGCGCCCUGCGAGAAGGUAGGCGACGUUGCGCGCGGAACGAAAACUGGCCCCGAGGUCCUACGGAACCGCCGCAAGCCCCAGUCUUGCAGCGCCGUCUUUUCUCGGUCCUUCGCGCAGUUAACUAACAGCCGUCCCCGCAGGGUUGUCUGAAGUCGCCGCACUAAGGCUAAGGCAAUUGAUGGAAGACAAUUAGAGGCUACAACUUCAUCAGGAACUCUGGCUGCAUUUGUGUUUGUGGCUGGGCGCGCGCAGCGGUGGCGCGUGAAUGGAUCUUUUGAGACCUUUCCUGAGCCUGGCAGAGGCAGAAGCGCCACGGGAAACCGGAGCAGCGUUCUUGUCGGUUUCUGCAAAGAUGCUCAGACCAGCGCGCCGAGGAGACUUCACCGCAGAUCCAAAAGAGCGCCUCGGAGUUUUAAAAUCAGGCAACCUUCCUCACUCACGCCACUCUGCCUCUUUCCACUUGGUACAUUUUUAAAAAGAGAGAUUUAGCAAACCCCUAGACGUCUCCCCGUGUUUUCCUGUAGUUCCCCCACUGAACCACCGACUCCUGGAAGGAGGAGCACGGUAUGUCGAGUCGGAGUUCUAGACCAAACUUUGCCAUUUUGCAAAUCAUCCCUCCUCUUUAGGCCUUAGUUGAUUGAAUCAACGCCAACGUUCAUUGUGUCCCUUACAACCCUAACAUUUAAUGAGGCUGCGUUAAUUGUCACCAGUUCGACAAGGAGAGUGUGGGUGGACUUAGGGGCAUUUUUCAGCUGUUUCCUUGGGACAAAGGAGUGUGCUGUCCCCAACCCCACCCGAGGGCAGGGUCUGGGUAUCAGCUGGACCCAAGAUAAGGAAAAGUGAUUGGAAAGUUCUGUUCUCCUGCAGAGGGGACUUUCCGGGAAGAGGUCACAGGAACCUCGAGACCACCCUACUCCAAUUAUUCAACCAGCUCUCUGGGAGCUCACCCCCGGCGCGGUAGGGCCUCCCCCUCCAUUUUGUCCUUCAAUCUGCUGGAGCUCCACUGUGUCCGCGGGGAGGCAGGAGCCAGGAAGGCAAGUCAGCGGCGCCACCACCUCUUCCUCUGGCCGAAACCCACAAGUGUCCGCAAUGCGCUAAACAAACAAUCAGCUGCCUUGCGUCGCCCGGUGCAAUUGGAAUAACAAAUGCGACGCACGUAAAUUGCCCACCUCGUGUUGCUACGCGAUUGUUUGUUUGCCCCGCAUGCACCGCUCAGCAUGGGAGGACCGCAACCGGCAGAUGCGGCUGGUGAGCGCUUAGGUCGGAGAUGCAGUAAACACGCCGCUGAUUUUCCCUAUUAUCACCCAAACACGAUUUCACACAAAGCAAUCACCACGCAGAAGUCUAUGAAAAUGUGUUUGUUGAAGAGUCAGUCGCCCUGGUAAUAGCCCUCAUUUUUAAGAUAUUAAAGAAUAGAUCAGCGGAUUCUGCAUGCAUAAGGUAUAUCCGCGGUUCCGCAUCUAUCAAGGCGCUUUUGCGCAGCAGUCAUUGCUAAAUUGAUUCAUAGAGCGUAGAUUAAAUUGCUUCUCUGAUUUAAAACAGAAUGUCCAAAUUUGGAGUGUGCGUCUGGAUAUCUCAUCCCGCCCCAAGAUACCUUCAUCAUGGAGAAAACUGUCGCCCACUACACACACACAUACACACACUCGCACCCAUGGCUGUUAAAAAUAAAUGCAUAUGCGGCCCCAACUUCUUACGGCUUCAGGAAAUUUCUUUUCUUAAUUCUUUCAGCCUCUUGCCCGGUCAGAGCAGAGUUCAUAAUCUGAUGAGUUUAAGUAAGGUUUUUCGUGGCAUGCAAAAAGUUGGCCUGCCCUUUUCGAAGGUACGGAGCCCCCUAGCAGGGCGAGUCAGCGGGUCAGAGGAAUUAGGGACAAUACACAGAGCCGGCUGCAGCCUCUGCACGGCGUCCAGACCGCGCACAGUUUGCACAGAGCAGAUCGGCGUUAUUGUUUGUAUUUGGGCUUAAAAAGAAAUCCAGUGCCUCAAAGCUAGUGCUCAAUACCCGCUCCAUGGCCCUGUUGCUUCCUCGAGGACACCUUCAGUAGCCUCGGGGUGUUUCCCGUGUGAGAUUAGGUGGGUGGAGUACAGCACCCGGCACAAAUGCCACCCCACUAAGGUGCAGCACGCACAAGGGCGCCCGCAUUCCGCGGGACGUGGGGACAAUUACUACGAACUGACUUUUGCUCAAACUUUUGCAACAUUCCAAAUAAACACACUGAGCCCCUGAGAACGAAAUAAUCAAGGUGUUAGGAAAAGUCAGCAUAACACUGGGGGAAAAGAAGAGGGUGUCGAAAAAUGACGUGUUCCCAAAGCGUCAGAAAAAAACAGCUCCGGGUUUCCAGGGUUGCAGGAAUCGGCUUUCCGCUGAGCUAUUUACAAAAGUUUGUUUCAAAGCGAUUGCACCGUUGCUUUUGCAAAUCACAGAAUGCAAAUGACGAUAAUUUGUUCU
Long non-coding RNA from Rhinolophus ferrumequinum (greater horseshoe bat), 3337 nucleotides. RefSeq lists it as uncharacterized. The transcript has 4 exons. Lineage: Eukaryota; Metazoa; Chordata; Mammalia; Chiroptera; Rhinolophidae. The record is from RefSeq and is a predicted model, not a curated record.